CCUACGACUUCUAAGCAAUCUCAAACAUGGGAGCUAAUGCAUAGGACGUUCGUGACACGCUAGGGUGGACUUGGGCCUUAGUGACGAUAAAAUGGAACUAGACUAGUUAAAACUUGUUAUGUACUCUUUGUUUCAGUUAUUUUAAGACAAUGUAACUCGUUUGUUUGAUUCAAUAAAAUAUAACUUUGUAUGCCAUGGUUGUGAAACAAUAAUUCUGUUACAACACUCCCCGACGU
This 236-nucleotide long non-coding RNA is filed under the name Helianthus annuus (common sunflower). RNAcentral describes it as "sRNA HanXRQr2_Chr04g0163681". Lineage: Eukaryota; Viridiplantae; Streptophyta; Magnoliopsida; Asterales; Asteraceae. The record is from RNAcentral.